RNAcentral lists this ribosomal RNA (497 nucleotides) under uncultured bacterium. RNAcentral describes it as "partial 16S ribosomal RNA". It matches the Rfam family "Bacterial small subunit ribosomal RNA", at positions 28 to 507 of the family's 1533-position model. The record is from RNAcentral.
GACGAACGCUGGCGGCGUGCCUAAUACAUGCAAGUUGAGCGCUGAAGGUUGGUACUUGUACCAACUGGAUGAGCAGCGAACGGGUGAGUAACGCGUGGGUAAUCUGCCUUUGAGCGGGGGACAACAUUUGGAAACGAAUGCUAAUACCGCAUAAAAACUUUAAACACAAGUUUUAAGUUUGAAAGAUGCAAUUGCAUCACUCAAAGAUGAUCCCGCGUUGUAUUAGCUAGUUGGUGAGGUAAAGGCUCACCAAGGCGAUGAUACAUAGCCGACCUGAGAGGGUGAUCGGCCAAAAUGGGAAUGAGAAACGGCCCAAACUCCCACGGGAGGCAGCAGGAGGGGAACUUCGGAAAUGGACGAAAGUCUGAACGAGCAACGCCGGGUGAGUGAAGAAGGGUUUCGGAUCGGAAAACUCUGUUGGUAGAGAAGAACGUUGGUGAGAGUGGAAAGCUCAUCAAGUGACGGUAACUACCCAGAAAGGGACGGCUAACUACGUG